This 222-nucleotide long non-coding RNA is filed under the name Elaeis guineensis (African oil palm). RNAcentral's name for it is "long non-coding RNA (EGUI_LNC073384)". The record is from RNAcentral. Lineage: Eukaryota; Viridiplantae; Streptophyta; Magnoliopsida; Arecales; Arecaceae.
UCCGGACAUCGAGUCACUAUUGCUAGAUGGUUACAUCGAUUAGUAUAAAAAAUUAUUUUUAUACUACUGACUUAGGUUCGAACCUAUGGAAUCACAUGCAUUAGAAUAUUCGAUUAGAUCUGAUGGCUGAAGAGUCCAAUUGGAUUGUGACUCUGGUGAGGAGUCCCACUAGGACUGAAACUCUGGAGAAGAGUCCCAUUGGACUAGGACUCUAUCAUUAAU